Molecule: ribosomal RNA, 292 nt
Filed under: uncultured bacterium
Lineage: Bacteria
Description: partial 16S ribosomal RNA
Rfam family: Bacterial small subunit ribosomal RNA
Source: RNAcentral
GUGUCAGCAGCCGCGGUAAUACAGAGGGUGCGAGCGUUGUCCGGAAUCACUGGGCGUAAAGGGCGCGUAGGUGGCUUGGUAAGCGUGUGGUGAAAGUCCGGGGCUCAACCCCGGAUCUGCCGUGCGAACUGCCGAGCUCGAGCAUUGUAGAGGCAGGUGGAAUUCCGGGUGUAGCGGUGGAAUGCGUAGAGAUCCGGAAGAACACCAGUGGCGAAGGCGGCCUGCUGGGCAAUAGCUGACACUGAGGCGCGACAGCGUGGGGAGCAAACAGGAUUAGAUACCCUGGUAGUCC